Molecule: ribosomal RNA, 537 nt
Filed under: Colletotrichum sp. AX96
Lineage: Eukaryota; Fungi; Ascomycota; Sordariomycetes; Glomerellales; Glomerellaceae
Description: eukaryotic LSU rRNA
Rfam family: 5.8S ribosomal RNA (bases 215-368)
Source: RNAcentral
CGUAACAAGGUCUCCGUUGGUGAACCAGCGGAGGGAUCAUUACUGAGUUUACGCUCUACAACCCUUUGUGAACAUACCUAUAACUGUUGCUUCGGCGGGUAGGGUCUCCGUGACCCUCCCGGCCUCCCGCCCCCGGGCGGGUCGGCGCCCGCCGGAGGAUAACCAAACUCUGAUUUAACGACGUUUCUUCUGAGUGGUACAAGCAAAUAAUCAAAACUUUUAACAACGGAUCUCUUGGUUCUGGCAUCGAUGAAGAACGCAGCGAAAUGCGAUAAGUAAUGUGAAUUGCAGAAUUCAGUGAAUCAUCGAAUCUUUGAACGCACAUUGCGCCCGCCAGCAUUCUGGCGGGCAUGCCUGUUCGAGCGUCAUUUCAACCCUCAAGCUCUGCUUGGUGUUGGGGCCCUACAGCUGAUGUAGGCCCUCAAAGGUAGUGGCGGACCCUCCCGGAGCCUCCUUUGCGUAGUAACUUUACGUCUCGCACUGGGAUCCGGAGGGACUCUUGCCGUAAAACCCCCAAUUUUCCAAAGGUGACCUCGA